Molecule: ribosomal RNA, 141 nt
Filed under: Rhizoplaca chrysoleuca
Lineage: Eukaryota; Fungi; Ascomycota; Lecanoromycetes; Lecanorales; Lecanoraceae
Description: 5.8S ribosomal RNA
Rfam family: 5.8S ribosomal RNA
About the family: 5.8S ribosomal RNA (5.8S rRNA) is a component of the large subunit of the eukaryotic ribosome. It is transcribed by RNA polymerase I as part of the 45S precursor that also contains 18S and 28S rRNA.
Source: RNAcentral
AUCUCUUGGUUCUGGCAUCGAUGAAGAACGCAGCGAAAUGCGAUAAGUAAUGUGAAUUGCAGAAUUCAGUGAAUCAUCGAAUCUUUGAACGCACAUUGCGCCCCUCGGUAUUCCGGGGGGCAUGCCUGUCCGAGCGUCAUU